AGCUAAAUGAUGAAGUAAUUUUUUUUGUCUGAAAUUGAUGUGGAUCUCUUGUUUCAUACAUACCUUCAAAGUUCUCUGAUAGCU
RNAcentral lists this small nucleolar RNA (84 nucleotides) under Medicago truncatula (barrel medic). RNAcentral's name for it is "Small nucleolar RNA R160". It matches the Rfam family "Small nucleolar RNA R160". From Rfam's summary of the family: snoR160 is a C/D box small nucleolar RNA, which acts as a methylation guide for 25S ribosomal RNA in plants. snoR160 has been alternatively named snoZ270 in rice. Lineage: Eukaryota; Viridiplantae; Streptophyta; Magnoliopsida; Fabales; Fabaceae. The record is from Rfam by way of RNAcentral.